UCUUUCUAGGUGUCUCUUGAUUAAGUGGGAAAAUAUGUUCAUACUAAGUAAAGGAAAGCUGAUUAAAAAAAAAUAAUAAUAAAAUAACAUGGUGAUACUCAGAUUAUAAAGAACUCUCAUUAUAGUUGAUGGCUGCUCCUUCAUAUGUUGCUGGUAUUUUUCAAGAUCUUGUUACUGGUAAUGCACAUUGUGCCCUAGCAGGGUAUUGAUCAAAAAAGCUGGGGAAAUGUGAUUUUGUUGCAUAUCAGGAAAUGCAAUCUUUAUUUGUUAUUGUUUCACGGUACUGUACUGGGAUCUAUAGCAACAAUGGCAGCACCAGCAGUCUCUGGCAAGCUAAAGUUUUGGCCCAAUGGGAGAUUGUGAAUAAAUGGAUGUCCAAUAAAAGGCAAGGCAGUGCAUCUUGGCAUGAUACAUGCUGCUCAACUGAAUUGAACUCCCUUGUGUGCCUAGAGCAAGAAAGCCACUAUACAUUAACGGAGUGUACUCAAUUAAGAUAGAUGCAGAACAAGGGAAGGUAACCAUAUCUGGCACUGUGGAUCCACACACGAUCAUAACGAUGCUGGGGAAAGCUGGAAAGAAAGCAGAGCUGUUGUCGGAAAUGAACAACCACAACCAAACUAUGCAAGCUGCUCAACCCACGUGAGUUCAAGGCAUUGAUCAGCAUAAGGAUGCCAAACGGCUUCUUCAAUUGUCACAAAUUAAUCGCCUGAAACAAGUGGAGCUAACCCAUUCCAAGAACAUGAAGAUGACCUUCGAUAACCACAACUGCAAUUUGGGUCGUAAAACUGACACCACCAAGAGUAAAAAGAUAGUUGGAUCCGCUGCCACUGCAGCUCCUGCAUGUUGUGGUGGUUGUUAUGAUCAUGUGAACAACAUUCCAGAUUGCUUUGCUACCAUGGAAUUGAUAUAGCUUGUCGGGGUGGGCCCUCAAAGGGGUAGUGGUCAUGUGGGCCACCGGUAGUGGCUUACCCAUAUCCUAGUUUAUUUGGGGAUGAAUAUCUUGUGAGUUUCAUCUUUCUGUCUUCGGUUCUUGGACUUUGAUCUUCUUUUCUUUAUUUGUUUUGACCUAUUUUAAAGUCAUUGUUAUGAAGUUAUUAUUGUAGAAGCGGAGUUAAUUUUAUUCAAAUCACGAAUUUAACUAAUA
Non-coding RNA from Camellia sinensis, 1144 nucleotides. The record is from RefSeq and is a predicted model, not a curated record. NCBI's taxonomy places the organism in Eukaryota, Viridiplantae, Streptophyta, Magnoliopsida, Ericales, Theaceae.